Molecule: small nucleolar RNA, 130 nt
Organism: Nannospalax galili (Upper Galilee mountains blind mole rat)
Lineage: Eukaryota; Metazoa; Chordata; Mammalia; Rodentia; Spalacidae
Source: Ensembl
AGACACUGACAAAAAUAUUUAAGGUGUUAGAAUAAAGCUAAAUAUCCCUGCAGCGCCACAGCACGUUGCUUGCGCAUAACUGGGACCACCUGCCCAUUGCAGGUGGCCCUUUUAACUGCCAGCUACAGGG